Molecule: long non-coding RNA, 3855 nt
Organism: Prionailurus viverrinus (fishing cat)
Lineage: Eukaryota; Metazoa; Chordata; Mammalia; Carnivora; Felidae
Exons: 3
Source: RefSeq, a predicted model, not a curated record
UGGCACGCAAUAUGUUUACUUGUUGGCUGCCUCUCCCAUCAGAUGUGAGCUACAACAGUCCCAGAUACGCAGUAGGUAAGCAGCAAGCAAACGUUGAAUGAAUGAGUGCAUGAACAGUCUGUCUUAGUGAAUCUCCAGAGAAUCCUCCCUAGGAUAGAGCGGGUGCUCCUGUUGGCCAAGAGCUUGGGUUUCGCGGACGGCGGCGGGAGGCAGCUACAACCCGAUGGGAUUUCACCGUGUCGGGAGCAGUGGUAACCAGCUCGAUCACGCAUCCCACCAGGAGGUACAGGUGCCACGUUGAACCAGCUCCUCACGUGGACGAGGAGGAAACAGAGGCCUACAGUGGGCACGGCACAGAGUCCGGCCAAGCCUCCCGCCUUGAAGCUCUUCCCAGCGUCCCACACUGUCCCCAUGUGAUCCCUACAGCUCUGGGAGGCUGAUCCAGAGCAAGAGGCCGUGACGCACGUCAUAGGUGAGAAAACCGACUCCGGGAGGCGAAGGUUUCGAACAGAUUCCCUGGCUCAGAAGCCUGGUCUUUGAAGUCAGACGAACCUGGGCUCACACACCUUAGUUUUUCACUCCCUAGCUCCACUUGGCACAUACUGGGCCUCAGUGGGCCUCAGUGUCCUCAUCUAUGAAAUGGGGCCAAUGAUACCUUACGUCACAGGGAGCCGGGAGGGGGAACUGACGUACGUUAUUGCUUAGAGCGGUUCCUGGCCCAUAGCGGCUAUGAGGAUGCCCGCCGUUCUCGUUAAUUUCGCCGUAUCUCACACUUGGGUGAAAUAUCCACGGAGGGAUGUGACGGAGCCUCCGCACCACCGCCUGGCUCCACCUCGCGGCCACCGGGCCCGUGGCCACCCCACCUCUGCCUGCGGCAGGGCCCGGAGCCUGGACAUGGCUGGCAGGACGCCAGCUCCCUUGGUAGGAUGCCCCACCACUCCCUCUGGGCCCCUCUAUUCUGGGAGCUGUAAUUUAGACGGCCUUCCCCGCCCCAAUUGCUAUAUCUAUGGCAGCAGUCACUGUGCCCGCGGGCCCUGCCCACCCCCUACGACGCUGCCUUUUCAUAAACAGCUCCCAGGCUGCCCUGUUAUCUUGGGUUCCUUGCCUCUGGGGAGGAGGCCCUGCCACCCUGAAGAUACAAAUAACCCCUCAAUCCUGGGGGAAGCUGGCCUGAUGUGGCCAGAGGCGGGAUGGAAGCCUCACCCACGGGAGCCCAAUAUAGCAGAUCUCAGAACCUGACCCUGAAGUCGGCCGAGGCGGGGUAGGGGGGACAGGAAAGAGAAGAGCCUGCCAUCAUCCUCCUGACACUCUGAGAACUGGGCUGGCCUGGGCUGUGGUCUCCCCAGAGGCCGCCCUGCUCAGCCACAGGGCCAUGAAAAGAAGGAGGGGCAGCCAGUAACAGCAACACAAGUGAUCUUUCUAAAACACAGAUGUGAUUGUGUCAGCCCCUCGCUCCAAACCUGCAGUGGUUCCCCAUGGCCCUUAGGGAGGAAGCUCACAAGACCCUCCGUCUUCUGCCCUUUCUACCACCUCUCGGACCUCAGGACCUUUGCACGAGCUCUCCCUCUUUAAAGUUUUCCUCUUUAUCCAACUCCUAUACAUCCUGCAGGUCUUGGCUUAGAAAGUACUUCUCAUGGAAUCUUCCCCUGACAUCACCACACAUAUACACGCCUCUGGUCCUCCCCCUUGAACUGGGUUGGAUGUCCCUCCCAUGUUCACCAGAAUCACUAGGCCCCUGCUGAUGCGCCUUGUCUGUCUCCCUAGCAGACUGUAAGCACUCCCAGGGCAGGAACUCUGUCUUGCUUAUAUUGUUCCUCCAGAACCAAGGCCAGUCCUGGUUCAUGAAAAAUUUGUUGAAAGAAUACAUGAGUAAGUAAAUAAACAAUUCCUCUGUCCCCUGGGAUGAGUGGGUCUCUUGGAGAAAGACUUGUUACUUUGUGCCCUUGAUUGUCCCAGGAAACCCCGUCUUCAGGCUCUGUCCCUUCGCCCUCUGUGUGUAACUUCAGGCUUCCUGCACUGAUCUGUCCAUCCUGAUCUGGAAAAUACGGUGGCUAUGGCCAUGGGCCUGCUUGUGGGGAGCCCUGAGGGAUUCUGAGGACGCAGAAAGGACAUGGCAGGCAUCCCUGGGUUGAGGAGGAGGAGGGCACAGAAAGAGGGAGUCCUCAGGCCAUGGGUCACUUAUAAGCAACAUCUGUCACUGAGAAGGAGGGCGAGUGUGCAUAUCAAAUGGGCGGUUUGGGGCACUUUCUGCUAUGACACGGAGACGCUUUGUAUUUUGCUUGUUUCAAAAAAGGAAAAUGGCAAAGAAUAACCUACAACUAUGGCGGUAGGAUUGGAGUUAGAGUUUUCUACCAGUCAGCCCCAUAAAUUAGUGGAGGGCCCCUGAAAUUUGAGUAUCUGUGUGUCCAAAUCGCAUUUCCUCCGUCAUUUCUCUUGUCCUGCGGUCUCGCUUGGAUUUGCCCCAGAUCACCCGCCCUGCCUGGAGGCCGGGAAGAUCUGCCUGUGCGGCCACUUCCACGUCCUGAGAACCUGAGACUUACUCCCAGGACCACAGCCAUGGAGCCAAGGUCAAGGGAGAGAAGAAGAGAGCAGUGGGGGCUCAGCAGGCCACCUCCCCACUCCUGGAGGCCGCAGGAUGAGAUGGCCCAAGACAGGCCUGGUGAGGACAAUCAAUCCAGUGGCAACAUAUACGAAGUUUGUGCCCUGGGCGGGUCACGUGAUCUAGACAUGCUCCCACCCCAGGGCCUUUGCACGUGCUGUUCGUGCUGCCUGAUUCUCUUUUCCCCUCAGAUUUCCAUAGCGCUCACUCUCUCGGGUCUUUGCUUAACUGACCCCUUCUCCGUCAGACUUUCCUUAGGCACCCUAUUUAAAUCGAAGCUCCCCCCCCCCACCACCAUUUCCCUGCUUUAUUUUUUUCCAUAGCACUUCCUGCUAUCUGACAUACUGGGUUCUUUCCCUCUCUCCCCCCGCCCUUCCUUCCUUCCUUCCACGGUCUGCCUCCUUUAAUAGAACGUGAGAACCAUAGCAAUUGUGUUUACAGGUGUAUUUCUGGUUCUCUAUUGCUGAGUCACGGAUCACCCCCAAAAGUCAGCAGCUGAAAACCAGCCCUUAGCUCUCCAAGUGCCCGCGAGCCAAGAGCCCCGAUGAGAUGGCAGAGUCAUCUCGAAGCCUGACUGGGGCUGGAAGGGCUGCGCCCAAACUCACUCAUGUGGUUGUCGUCGGGUCUGCCCUGGCUGCUGGCCCGAGGCUGAGUUGAGUUCCUCGCCUUGGGAGCGUCCCCCGUGGGGAAGCCUGGCGGCUGAGCGAGCGAUCCAGAAAGAGGGCAGAGCAAGAGAGUGAGAGAGAGCGCCUAAGAUGAAGCGUCGUCUGUCCUGACCCCGCACCGGCUGAGCCGGGCCUUGGCUUCUGCCCAGCGCCACUGGUCACUCAGACCGACUCUGGUACAGCGUGGGAGGCGCGGGCAUGACAGUGUGGACACCAGGGUGUGGGCUCAGCCCCAAAGGAUCAUAAACACCUGCUGCUCUCCUCGGCGCCGCACCCCCACCCCCACCUCUCCCCUGACGUGUGACCUUGGGCAAGUUCCUCGACGCGGAGGCCUGCCGUGGGGAUGUAAAAAGAUGAGGCGCUAGGCAUCACAGUGUCUGACACACACACGCCCUCAGUAUAUGACACCAUCGUGGGCAGCUGUUGCUAUUACGGGAGGGAAAAACCAAAGUAUCUUCCUGGAGGCAGGAGCCGUUUUAGAGCUGGGGGUGGUGCGCGCGUGCGUGCGUGCGUGCGUGUGUGUGUGUGUGUGUAUGUGUGUGUUUCUAUACGGUUCUCUUCCCAGAGCACUGGCUGAGAGCAGCUGUCCCA